Arachis ipaensis is the source of this 386-nucleotide non-coding RNA. Lineage: Eukaryota; Viridiplantae; Streptophyta; Magnoliopsida; Fabales; Fabaceae. The record is from RefSeq and is a predicted model, not a curated record.
AUACGAUGUGCAAAUGAAUGAAUGGUGUCUGACUUUGAUUGAAUGCUGAUUUUGGUGUAAACAGAAAUGAUGUUCCGUCUGGUGCUUGUCGUCUUGUAUCACAUGGGACCCACAGGUAUCCUUAAAUAUUCCAAACAGAUGAAAGGAAACUUGUUGAUAAAUUCAGAAGCUGAGGAAUCAAUCUUAGAGGAAACUUGCCACUGAUUGCACUUUCAGGUUAUAUGUUCAUGAACAAAUUUCAAAAUUAUCCGUUCAACAUUUCAGAAGCUGGUAGUAUAGAAACCCAGCUGCAAUAAACCACAUACUGUUGCCAAUUUAUUUAGCUUAAGUAACAUUGGUUAAGAUGAUACAAUUAAAUUGACAAAAUGAGCAUUGGAAAUUACAUU